AUCACCUGGCCUGAGUUAAAGUUUUGCAUAUAUUUCCUUUCUGUCUAAUAAUAAAAUACAAUUAACAAUUACAAAAAAAAAUCAUACAAAAAAAUCAUUACCCAAAAUAACCGCAUCAUAUGUUUCUUUGUAAUUGUAUAGCAAGCGUUUCUUUAGGCUUCAAAGUAAAGCAUUUUUACAGAGUGUAAUUUAGCCAAGGGAGGGGUUCUAAGUAAUUUAGAAUGCCUCCUUAGCCCCACCCCCAGCAGCAGAAAUGCCUGAUGGGAAAUGUAUGCGUUGUAGUCAGAGGAAUUGACUGAGGGGAGUUUGCAGAGGCCUCCCCUUGUGAACAGUAGCCCCAUCAGACAUCCUUAUCCUCAGUGUCUCAUCCUCAUCUUCAUCACUCUCACCUCCAGUGUGGGGAGCAACAGGCUCCUCUCCCAUCAUUUUUUACCUUGUGUGAGUGUGUGUGUGUGUGUGUGUGUCUGUGUGUGUGCUGUACAUUCUCUCGCUUUGGAUUCUCUAUCUCUGUCUGAAGUCAAACUGUAUCCGCUUCCUCCUCCUCCUCCUCCUCCUCGCUUCCUGUCCUCUGAUUAUCGUCCAUCUGUUUGACAAGGCCCUCACAUCUUCACUAGGUUCUCUCAUAGAACACAGACUGGAACCGCACAACCACAGUUACCAUAGAGAUUAGAACCACAUGACCACAGUUACCAUAGAGAUUAGAACCACAUGAGCACAGUCAGUGGAUCCCUCCUAGCUCAGAGAACCGGCAACAGAACCGCAGGAACAGACCUACUGGUUAUCUUCUGCAGCAGACUGCAACCAGACACAAAAAUCACAUGACCACUCUUCAGAGCUAAGAGAGUUCUGCUUUUACACAGCAAUCAAUAAUCACAAUAAUCAAUCUGCAUACCUUCACCUCCCCAGUCAAGAUUUAUUAAGUUAUAGUUCAGUUGAUGCUUCCCAUCGUAGUUUGCGGCCUUGUUAAACUCUUCAUUAGCGCUUGUAUCGCCCCUCAUCAACCCCACCCCCUCCCUCAGCCAAUAGUCAGACUGUCAGAAGUUGUGUCAUUGCUUUGUCCAUUUUAAAUUUGUUUAUUUUAUUCAAUUUUCUGCCGUUUGUUUGUUUGUUUGUUUGUUUGCUCAUCUGUUGGCUAAUGUUAGACUUUACUGUAUUCCCAGAUAC
Molecule: long non-coding RNA, 1164 nt
Organism: Clupea harengus (Atlantic herring)
Lineage: Eukaryota; Metazoa; Chordata; Actinopteri; Clupeiformes; Clupeidae
Source: Ensembl